RNAcentral lists this ribosomal RNA (574 nucleotides) under uncultured bacterium. RNAcentral describes it as "partial 16S ribosomal RNA". It matches the Rfam family "Bacterial small subunit ribosomal RNA", at positions 355 to 928 of the family's 1533-position model. The record is from RNAcentral.
UGAGGAAUAUUGGUCAAUGGGCGAGAGCCUGAACCAGCCAAAUCGCGUGAAGGAAGACUGCCUUAUGGGUUGUAAACUUCUUUUAUACAGGAAUAAAAAAGGGGACGUGUCCCUUAUUGCAUGUACUGUAUGAAUAAGCAUCGGCUAACUCCGUGCCAGCAGCCGCGGUAAUACGGAGGAUGCGAGCGUUAUCCGGAUUUAUUGGGUUUAAAGGGUGCGCAGGCGGGCUUUUAAGUCAGCGGUGAAAUCUCGGGGCUUAACUCCGAAACUGCCGUUGAAACUGGGAGUCUUGAGUAUGGAUGAAGUAGGCGGAAUUCGUUGUGUAGCGGUGACAUGCUUAGAUAUAACGAGGAACUCCGAUUGCGUAGGCAGCUUACUAAGCCAUAACUGACGCUCAAGCACGAAAGCGUGGGGAUCAAACAGGAUUAGAUACCCCUGGUAGUCCACGCCGUAAACGAUGAUUACUAGUUGUAUGCGAUAUACCGUAUGUGACUAAGCGAAAGCGAUAAGUAAUCCACCUGGGGAGUACGCCGGCAACGGUGAAACUUAAAGGAAUUGACGGGGGUCAUAGCUG